UUUAGCCCUGAUCCAGAAACAUCUAUGGGUCUAGUGCAGCAUGAAGGUGGGCCCUGUGGCGUUUUAGCAGCAAUUCAAGCAUUUGUUCUCAAAUACCUCCUUUUCUGCCCAGCUGAAUUAGGUAAAGUUGUACCAAACGUGCAUCACAAUAUGGGUUCAAGGACACUGUCUAAUAGUCCGUGUGUUGCAUCGAAUAAUUUUGCCUCUCUUACUGAAGAUGCAAAAGCAAGGUGAUUAAUCGUUGCAUGGUAAAUUAUACAUCUGUGGUUUUAGUUGAUGAUGCUUAUGCAUUAUGUUAUUCAUAUUGGACUUUUACUGUUUCAUAGUCCAAUCUAGGGAGAAUCAUAGAAAUCUGUUUAAAGCAUAUGAUCCUGUACAUCCUUUCUGGUUUACUCAUUUCUGUAGCCAAUUGUUUAGUUGCGUGUUUACACACUGCAAACUGGUGUCGUCCUUUGUAAGUUUACACUAAUUUUACUGUCCUAAUGCUGUUUAACUUCUGGUUCUUUCCAUAACUUUGAGUAUGGAAUUUUUUUUCUAGGAUGCGCAGAAUGCUUUUUCAGUUGUUUUUGUCCCACUAUCAUCAUUUUAACCUGCACGCUUAUAAAGUCUAACUUUUCAUAACUAUUUUACUUUUAUAUGUCAAAGUUUUGUAGUAUUUACUUUCUCCAUGUAUGUUGUCUCCAGAAAUCAUCUAUAAUUUUUUGAACUUUGUUUUACGCGUAGACACAAUAUACUCUUUCAUGUGCAAGGCUUCCUGCUUAUAUGAUUAUUAUUUUCUCUUAAAUCUGGCACAAAGUCUUUGUAGAACCUUCAUUUAUAUCAAUACUUCCAUGUC
Prunus avium (sweet cherry) is the source of this 835-nucleotide non-coding RNA. The record is from RefSeq and is a predicted model, not a curated record. Lineage: Eukaryota; Viridiplantae; Streptophyta; Magnoliopsida; Rosales; Rosaceae.